CCUACGGGAGGCAGCAGUGAGGAAUAUUGGUCAAUGGACGCAAGUCUGAACCAGCCAUGCCGCGUGCAGGAAGACGGCUCUAUGAGUUGUAAACUGCUUUUGUACGAGGGUAAACGCAGAUACGCGUAUCUGUCUGAAAGUAUCGUACGAAUAAGGAUCGGCUAACUCUGUGCCAGCAGCCGCGGUAAUACGGAGGAUUCAAGCGUUAUCCGGAUUUAUUGGGUUUAAAGGGUGCGUAGGCGGUCGGAUAAGUUAGAGGUGAAAUCCCGAGGCUCAACUUCGGAAUUGCCUCUGAUACUGGUCGGCUAGAGAGUAGUUGCGGUAGGCGGAAUGUAUGGUGUAGCUGUGAAAUGCUUAGAGAUCAUACAGAACACCGAUUGCGAAGGCAGCUUACCAAGCUACUUCUGACGUUGAGGCACGAAAGCGUGGGGAGCAAACAGGAUUAGAUACCCCGGUAGUC
RNAcentral lists this ribosomal RNA (460 nucleotides) under uncultured bacterium. RNAcentral's name for it is "partial 16S ribosomal RNA". It matches the Rfam family "Bacterial small subunit ribosomal RNA", at positions 338 to 795 of the family's 1533-position model. The record is from RNAcentral.